RNAcentral lists this ribosomal RNA (465 nucleotides) under Vreelandella stevensii. RNAcentral's name for it is "partial 16S ribosomal RNA". It matches the Rfam family "Bacterial small subunit ribosomal RNA", at positions 338 to 795 of the family's 1533-position model. The record is from RNAcentral. Lineage: Bacteria; Pseudomonadati; Pseudomonadota; Gammaproteobacteria; Oceanospirillales; Halomonadaceae.
CCUACGGGUGGCAGCAGUGGGGAAUAUUGGACAAUGGGGGGAACCCUGAUCCAGCCAUGCCGCGUGUGUGAAGAAGGCCCUCGGGUUGUAAAGCACUUUCAGUGAGGAAGAACGCCUGGUGGUUAAUACCCAUCAGGAAAGACAUCACUCACAGAAGAAGCACCGGCUAACUCCGUGCCAGCAGCCGCGGUAAUACGGAGGGUGCGAGCGUUAAUCGGAAUUACUGGGCGUAAAGCGCGCGUAGGUGGCUUGAUAAGCCGGUUGUGAAAGCCCCGGGCUCAACCUGGGAACGGCAUCCGGAACUGUCAAGCUAGAGUGCAGGAGAGGAAGGUAGAAUUCCCGGUGUAGCGGUGAAAUGCGUAGAGAUCGGGAGGAAUAACAGUGGCGAAGGCGGCCUUCUGGACUGACACUGACACUGAGGUGCGAAAGCGUGGGUAGCAAACAGGAUUAGAUACCCGUGUAGUC